CCCAGAGGUAUUGAUAGGUGGAAUCAACGUCAUUGUUGAUCACACGAAUUACACCAACCUGCGUAGAGAUGCGCUAGGUUUUUUUU
Non-coding RNA from Salmonella enterica subsp. enterica serovar Newport, 86 nucleotides. NCBI's taxonomy places the organism in Bacteria, Pseudomonadati, Pseudomonadota, Gammaproteobacteria, Enterobacterales, Enterobacteriaceae. The record is from Rfam.